This 122-nucleotide small RNA is filed under the name Arabidopsis thaliana (thale cress). RNAcentral's name for it is "ATSL038970". The record is from RNAcentral. Lineage: Eukaryota; Viridiplantae; Streptophyta; Magnoliopsida; Brassicales; Brassicaceae.
ACCCAAAACCCUUAAACCUAAACACUAAACCCUAAACCAUAGACCCCAACUUUAAAACCUAAAUCCUACUUUAGCUUCCGAAAUCCGGUUGCGGUUCUAGUUCUUAUACUCAUUGAUACACA